GAGACAGAGUCGGUCAUUUUCCCUGCCGACUCCACAGCCCUGGUUAGUGUGGCAGGACUAUACUUGUAUGACUAUUGGUGAAUUUCUAUGUCUAGCUCACACCUGCCUGUACUUACAUAUGGCUACCAUUUAAAUUUAAAAAAUAAUUUUUGUACUUGCCAGUUACUGAACAGUUUUAUUCAUGGAUAAAAUGGUGAAGUCAAAGCCAUGAUGGUGUGGUCUAUUGAUAAGCAGCAAAGGCUCAGGAUAUAUGUCUUUCCUCACCAAAAAAGCAAAUCAUUGCAAUAUGAUUUAGGAAGAACUGUGCCUUUAUCAAAUAAAGGAGUGGUUUAAAGAAAGUAAACCUCAUUUUUAUGCAAGAUGAGAUGUACUUCUGUAAAAAUAUUUAGCUAGUUAUGUGCAAAUAUUUAGCUAAAAUAGUGUUUGUGUACUUAGUUGACUCAGAAAUUUCUGAUGUGGUGUCUGUGGAAAACAUGUAAUCUGGCAUUUCUUGUAAAAAAGUCAAUAAAAUUACUCCUGCUGUCAAAAGAAAAAAAAAAAAUAUUAAGGGCUAUCCAUUUUUUCCCUAUAAUAAUUGUGCACUAAAUUAAUUUUUAGUUUUUGUAUUAAGAAAAAAAGAAAGAUAUUUUCAUGCAUAGGUUGGUAUUGUAAUUUUGUAGGAUACUGCAUUUAAUAAAAAUGAAACGAUUUAAAAGCUGCUGUUACAUUCUGGUAAUUUUCUUGGAAUAGGUAAUUUUAGCUUGUAUGUUUUCUUAAAGCAAAUAAAUAAAAUAACUUUAAGUGUA
Stegodyphus dumicola is the source of this 785-nucleotide long non-coding RNA. The record is from RefSeq and is a predicted model, not a curated record. NCBI's taxonomy places the organism in Eukaryota, Metazoa, Arthropoda, Arachnida, Araneae, Eresidae.